Molecule: ribosomal RNA, 460 nt
Filed under: uncultured Methylomirabilota bacterium
Lineage: Bacteria; Methylomirabilota (SeqCode)
Description: bacterial SSU rRNA
Rfam family: Bacterial small subunit ribosomal RNA
Source: RNAcentral
GGGCUUGACAUCCCACGAACCUGCCCGAAAGGGUCGGGUGCCCGCAAGGGAGCGUGGAGACAGGUGGUGCAUGGCCGUCGUCAGCUCGUGUCGUGAGAUGUUGGGUUAAGUCCCGCAACGAGCGCAACCCUCACCCCUUGUUGCCACCGGGUCAUGCCGAGCACUCUAGGGGAACUGCCAGCGUCAAGCUGGAGGAAGGCGGGGAUGACGUCAAGUCAUCAUGCCCCUUACGCCCUGGGCAACACGCGCGCUACAAUGGCUGGUACAAAGGGAUGCAAGACCGCGAGGUGGAGCUAAUCCCAAAAAACCAGUCUAAGUUCAGAUUGCAGUCUGCAACUCGACUGCAUGAAGGAGGAAUCGCUAGUAAUCGCGCAUCAGCAUGGCGCGGUGAAUACGUUCCCGGGCCUUGUACACACCGCCCGUCACACCACGAAAGCCGGCUGUACUCGAAGUCGCUGAG